AGGAGCAAAGUUACUCUCCUUAUUUAUGUACUCACUCUCCUUAGUGGUUGGGAGGCUGAUCUUGUUUUAGUUUAGGGGUAUAUGGAUAGGACAUAUAUGCCCAGAUGGAGUUGGCCACUUCAAGAAUGACAGCACUAAUAGACCUAGCCCGUGCUUACACUAGGCUCUGAAGGGAUCUAGAGGAAAAGAAUAAGAAACUCCAUUCCCAGGUACGCAUACUCAUGAGGAGGUGUGAAGGUCAUGCACUCAUAAACUUCCCCUAAUAAAGAUCUCAAACCUAUCCCAGAAGGUUGUCGAGGAGUUCUACUUUCUCACUAGGAUGGAGGAGAAGGGUUCAGAUGCCUCGAGCCUCAAAGAUAGUGUCACCAUCUAGAUGGACCCUUUUUAUUAAUUUUAUUAGUUCAAGGAUUGGGAUGCCCCCGUUUGAGGCAUGUAACAAAAAGUUACAAUUUUUUAUAUUUCUUUUUCUUUCUUUUUUAAGAUAGUUAUUG
Molecule: long non-coding RNA, 491 nt
Filed under: Capsicum annuum
Lineage: Eukaryota; Viridiplantae; Streptophyta; Magnoliopsida; Solanales; Solanaceae
Description: long non-coding RNA (CANN_LNC017271)
Source: RNAcentral